Molecule: ribosomal RNA, 253 nt
Filed under: uncultured bacterium
Lineage: Bacteria
Description: partial 16S ribosomal RNA
Rfam family: Bacterial small subunit ribosomal RNA
Source: RNAcentral
UACGUAGGUGGCAAGCGUUGUCCGGAUUUACUGGGCGUAAAGAGCGCGCAGGCGGUCGUUCAAGUCGCGUGUGAAAGCCCCCGGCUCAACUGGGGAGGGUCACGCGAUACUGAUCGACUGGAAGGCAGGAGAGGGUAGUGGAAUUCCCGGUGUAGUGGCGAAAUGCGUAGAUAUCGGGAGGAACACCAGUGGCGAAGGCGACUACCUGGCCUGUUCUUGACGCUGAGGCGCGAAAGCUAGGGGAGCAAACGGG